Molecule: ribosomal RNA, 258 nt
Filed under: uncultured bacterium
Lineage: Bacteria
Description: partial 16S ribosomal RNA
Rfam family: Bacterial small subunit ribosomal RNA
Source: RNAcentral
CGGAGGGGGGCUAGCGUUGUUCGGAAUUACUGGGCGUAAAGCGCACGUAGGCGGACCGGAAAGUCAGAGGUGAAAUCCCAGGGGCUCAACCUUGGAACUGCCUUUGAAACUAUCGGUCUGGAGUUCGAGAGAGGUGAGUGGAAUUCCGAGUGUAGAGGUGAAAUUCGUAGAUAUUCGGAGGAACACCAGUGGCGAAGGCGGCUCACUGGCUCGAUACUGACGCUGAGGUGCGAAAAGCGUGGGGGAGCAAACAGGAUU